This 305-nucleotide ribosomal RNA is filed under the name uncultured bacterium. RNAcentral's name for it is "bacterial SSU rRNA". It matches the Rfam family "Bacterial small subunit ribosomal RNA", at positions 337 to 635 of the family's 1533-position model. The record is from RNAcentral.
UCCUACGGGGGGCAGCAGUAGGGAAUUUUCGUCAAUGGGCGCAAGCCUGAACGAGCAAUGCCGCGUGAACGAGGAAGGUCUUCGGAUCGUAAAGUUCUGUUGGAGGGGAAAAAGAGCGGAGAGAGGAAAUGGUCUCCGAUUGAUAUUACCCUUCGAGGAAGUCACGGCUAACUACGUGCCAGCAGCCGCGGUAAUACGUAGGUGGCGAGCGUUAUCCGGAAUGAUUGGGCGUAAAGGGUGCGUAGGCGGCCUGCUAAGUCUGGAGUGAAAGGUACCGGCUCAACCGGUACAGGCUCUGGAAACUG